Molecule: non-coding RNA, 136 nt
Organism: Gossypium hirsutum (cotton)
Lineage: Eukaryota; Viridiplantae; Streptophyta; Magnoliopsida; Malvales; Malvaceae
Source: Rfam
CGUUAAAAAUUUCAUCCAUUUCUACUGCUAAAAACUGACGUGUCUAACAAAAUAACUAGAUAGUUACACGUAAUAUGCCACAUGAAUGAGAUAUAGAGACCAGUUUUAACAUUAGAAAUGGAUGAAAUUUUUAACA